GAUAAUUAGCUGUAUGAGAGAUACGCCUUCUCCUUUUGGAGGACUAACUAUCAUCAUUUCUCUUUUAGGGAAGACCAGGGAAGGAUGGGCAUCAAGGGCCCGCUGGAUAUGAGGUAGUUGUCCUGUCAAUCAGAAAUCUGUUUCUUUCUGUCUAACAUUGUUGAUUAUGUUACUGUUUUGUAAUGCAUUUUGUGUGUGUAUGUGUGUGUGUGUGCACUAUGUUUGUUUUUGUGUUCAUGCGUGUUGUGUUUGUGUAUAUGUAACUAUGGUGAUUAUACACUCUUGCCAUUUUUAGGGGAGAAAGGGGAAUCCUGGUUUAGCAGGACCUGAUGGAAUACCUGGACCGUGGGUCAGUCAUUACUACCAUUAAUUUCAUGUUGAGAAUGUGUGCGUGUGCCAAUAAUAAUGAUUUUUUGUUGUGUGUCUACCAGGGACAGAAGGGCGACCAGGGUCAAGACGGAGACCCUGGGGAGGUGACCAUGAUUGGCUGUGCCGUAAUUGGCCCGAAAGGACAACCAGGAUUUACUGGCCCCCUGGGGCCCACUGGGGUUACUGGUCCCCCAGGUACUCUACGCUCAUCCGGCAUACAGUACACACCCUUAUUGAUAUUCACCCUCCUCCUAUCCAAUCAGAUGUGAAGUAGCACUGUAUAAUCCUGCCUCAUUAACCAACAUGACCAAUCAGUGUGUCCGUAUAGCUAAUAAUAUCAACCUGUUUUCCAGGUGUCACUGGUUUCCAGGGGCCUCCUGGGUCUCCAGGUAAGCGCUGAUCCACACGCAAGCACUCACACACACACACACACACACACACACACACACACAUAUACUCAGUCUCCAUCAUGGGCUAUCUCCCCCUACACAGGUCCUAACUACGAAGGAGAUCCCGACAAUCGGGGAGUGAAGGGCCACAGUGGGCCUAAAGGGGAUAAAGGAGACCCAGGACCCAUCAUCCAGGGAGAGCCAGGCAGGGAAGGCUCACAAGGAACAACUGGAGACCUUGGACCCCCGGGACCACCUGGAGACUCUGGUUAGACUCUCCAUAAAUAAAGUAAUCUCUCCAACCCUGAGCCUAUAUUUAUAAAACAUCUCAA
This 1090-nucleotide long non-coding RNA is filed under the name Salmo trutta (river trout). RNAcentral describes it as "lncRNA (ENSSTUG00000006011.1)". Lineage: Eukaryota; Metazoa; Chordata; Actinopteri; Salmoniformes; Salmonidae. The record is from RNAcentral.